UAUAUAAAGCACCUGUGGCAACAUGACUGCCUUUUCGACUUGUCUGCUUGCUGGUUGCUACAUGCUCCUUGUACUGAGCCCCCUGUCUGCCCCUCUGCCUCGGGUGAGCUGGUGUCUGGUUUGAUAAGGUUUGUUUCUUUCAAAGAUUCUUAAUUGCUGAGAUGUGGAACUAUUGUAAAGGAUUCAUUUUAUCUCUUGUAUUUAGUCUGUUAUCCUGCUGGUCCUUUGCUUGAGGCGUCUUUGGUAGCUGUCCCCUUUGUGUGUCAUUGUUAUAGUGAAGCCAGUUAAUGGACCUUUGUCAGCCGCAGUUUUGCCUGUGUUUAAUGUAUUUGCCUUGUUGUACUUUUAACUGAACCAACUGGUUUAUUUGUUUUCCUUGUUUAAUACUUUUAUUGCACCUGUUUGCUGUGAGUUCACAAGUGGUUGGUAAGUUGCACUCCUGGAACACACCCCUUGAUGUUAGUUUUGCUGGCACCCCUCACUUCCCCCCCUCCCAUUUUGCUAAUUUUGAAUCACAUUGGAUUGGAAGUGUCUUUUUUAAAACAAAUUUAUAUUGUAAUAAACUUUAAUGCAUCCCCCUCAA
This is a long non-coding RNA of Notolabrus celidotus (New Zealand spotty), 583 nucleotides long. RefSeq lists it as uncharacterized. NCBI's taxonomy places the organism in Eukaryota, Metazoa, Chordata, Actinopteri, Labriformes, Labridae. The record is from RefSeq and is a predicted model, not a curated record. The transcript has 3 exons.